This is a long non-coding RNA of Papaver somniferum (opium poppy), 2008 nucleotides long. RefSeq lists it as uncharacterized. The record is from RefSeq and is a predicted model, not a curated record. The transcript is spliced from 5 exons. NCBI's taxonomy places the organism in Eukaryota, Viridiplantae, Streptophyta, Magnoliopsida, Ranunculales, Papaveraceae.
AAUCAUUCAUAAUGGGUGGUGGAUUCCUACCAUGGAUUGAUGGAUACUGCGAUGUGUAAAUUUGUUAAAGUGUCUGAUUGAUUUAUGAUUUAUUGACAACAACAACUCUUCUGCAAUUGGUCCAAGCUCUCAAUUUUUUGUUGUUGAAGAAGUAAUUCCCCUCCGAUUUCACAAAUGGAGGGCAAUUUUGAAAUACAUAUUCUCCUCCUCCUUCAUUUUCUACUGUUUAUGCUAUCAUCAUCAGCAGCAGCAGUAGUGAAAUUAGGGCAUCAUCAUCAUUCUCAACACCUGUUCUUGUUACUCUACUUUCCGCAAUUGUUCUUUUGGCCAAAUGGGGGGCGCGACACGCGAGUUCUGCAAUAUCAGAGGAAUCCGCUUUAGACAUGGAACAAAACUAUUGUUGUCAUCCAAACAUACCAUCAGUUUGUGUCUUGUGAGCACUCUCAAAGCAAUGCUUCCUACUUCUCAUGGCCCACCUUCAGUCGAUUGAAUGGAGCUGCUGAACAUAACGGGGAAGUAAGCGACCAGUUUAAUCGAGCUGAUGACGACUGUGGCAUUUCAUAGCCAGAUCUUGCUCUGUGAUAGUCCCGGCACUGCAAUUGGGUUUCUAGUCCGCAAGGGUGCAUUGACAGAUAACAGAUAUACCUGCUAUUCUUAUUUUUGUUUCCCGUAAAGCUCGUAACUGGUGGCUCAACCACAUCCAGUCUUUACCAUCUUCCCUCGAGGCCAAAGGGACCAGGAGGUGUAUGGUGUGAUGUAGACGUUAUUGACCUCUCAUACUUUGGUGCCGCUGCACCCCCAAAGAACAAUUGUACACUUUAGCUUGUUUGGUUUACGAGGAAGCGAUCUUUGUGCUGGUUCAGGUUCCCAGAAGUUGUGCAGGAGCUAAUAAAUACAUUAGCAGCAGUUGCAGAUUCCAUGGAUGGAGAGUCUGAUCUUGCAGAAAGGAACAUUACCUAAGGGUAUAAAGAAAGAUAUAUAUGAGCGUUUCAACCUGCAACAAAUCCCCAAAGAAGAUGAACCUGUUUAGGGGUGAACCGCCCCUUUGUGCAUAAUGAGACGUGGUCGAGACGGGACCGGCCAAUAUAGAAGAACAUCAGCUCAUUCCCAACCUCAUCAAUGGCCCCUAUGCACAAAAAAGACUCAAGAGAAUACCCCUGAAACAAAUAAUCUAUCAGCACUAAGGAACGGCUCAGAUGAAGACCUCAGUUCUGCAUUGCACUUUGGGGGUCGUGAACCAAGAGAAGGCGUUCAAAGUCUUCAAUCAUUAUCGAAGAAGCAAAAUAAAAUAAAGUGCUUACAGUUGCAGGAAAUUUGAGCCUUCUCAUUUUGCUAUACAAAUCUUUUCUACUUUAUUUUGUUGAAUAAUCAACGAGUUCAAAUGAGCUUCUUGCCAAGAGCAGAGUGCCUGUGCCGUGGAGAGUAUGAAUUCUGAAUAUAAGUAGCCAGACUUUAUAAAUAGAUCAGAGAGGGGCUGGACAGUGUUGCACCAGGGCAUGCUCUUUCCUAGUUUUAUCUUUUUCCUUCUUUAGAAAUCAUAUUCUGUUUCUUUACAACUGUGUGUGGAGACUUGUAGGUCAUACUUAACGAUGACUUGCAGGAAAUGGUGCAUGGGACAUAAUCUGGCCUGAUCCCUUUACAUCUCGAGGAUGGUUAAAUCUUGAAAAAGCUGUGAUUUGUAAAGAUGAGAGACCUCUCAGGUUUCACUUUCUUGUACUACUGUUUAACAGGAGUUGGUUGCAAACAGGAGUUUCGAUAAAGAGAUUUUGUGUAUGCACCAGUUUCAGUUUUGCCAACCCUAAAAUUAGAUUCCAUGUCUUCAAACACAGAUUUUAAUGGUAGAUUGGUACCAUGUAUGAUUGAUGGAUACUGAGAACUUGUUGUUACUACACUAUAGGUUACGGUUCAUUUGAGAAACAACACUACAGGUUUUAGAGAUCCAAGCAUCUUAAUUUCUUCGUUUAAUGUACCAUGUUGGGCCUCUCCUGAAGGUUUGGUCUAGUGCCAA